This 254-nucleotide ribosomal RNA is filed under the name uncultured bacterium. RNAcentral's name for it is "partial 16S ribosomal RNA". It matches the Rfam family "Bacterial small subunit ribosomal RNA", at positions 524 to 776 of the family's 1533-position model. The record is from RNAcentral.
UACGUAGGGGGCGAGCGUUGUCCGGAUUUAUUGGGCGUAAAGAGCUCGUAGGCGGUUUGGUAAGUCGGGUGUGAAAUCUCCACGCUCAACGUGGAGGGGCCACUCGAUACUGCCAUGACUCGAGUCCGGUAGAGGAGUGUGGAAUUCCCGGUGUAGCGGUGAAAUGCGCAGAUAUCGGGAGGAACACCCGUAGCGAAGGCGGCACUCUGGGCCGGAACUGACGCUGAGGCGCGAAAGCGUGGGGAGCGAACAGG